ACGCACGCUGGCGGCGUGCUUAACCCAUGCAAGUCGUACGGUAAGGCCCUUUCGGGGGUCCACGAGUGGCGAACGGGUGAGUAACACGUGAGUAACCUGCCCACAACUUUGGGAUAACGCUAGGAAACUGGUGCUAAUACUGGAUAUGUGCUCCUGCUGCAUGGUGGGGGUUGGAAAGCUCCGGCGGUUGUGGAUGGACUCGCGGCCUAUCAGCUUGUUGGUGGGGUAGUGGCCUACCAAGGCGGCGACGGGUAGCCGGCCUGAGAGGGUGACCGGCCACAUUGGGACUGAGAUACGGCCCAGACUCCUACGGGAGGCAGCAGUGGGGAAUAUUGCACAAUGGGCGCAAGCCUGAUGCAGCAACGCCGCGUGCGGGAUGACGGCCUUCGGGUUGUAAACCGCUUUCAGCAGGGACGAAGCUUUUUGUGACGGUACCUGCAGAAGAAGCACCGGCUAACUACGUG
This 464-nucleotide ribosomal RNA is filed under the name uncultured bacterium. RNAcentral describes it as "partial 16S ribosomal RNA". It matches the Rfam family "Bacterial small subunit ribosomal RNA", at positions 29 to 507 of the family's 1533-position model. The record is from RNAcentral.